Molecule: ribosomal RNA, 253 nt
Filed under: uncultured bacterium
Lineage: Bacteria
Description: partial 16S ribosomal RNA
Rfam family: Bacterial small subunit ribosomal RNA
Source: RNAcentral
UACGUAGGGCGCAAGCGUUGUCCGGAAUUAUUGGGCGUAAAGGGCUCGUAGGCGGUCUGUCGCGUCGGAUGUGAAAGCCCGGGGCUUAACCCCGGGUCUGCAUUCGAUACGGGCAGACUAGAGUGUGGUAGGGGAGAUCGGAAUUCCUGGUGUAGCGGUGAAAUGCGCAGAUAUCAGGAGGAACACCGGUGGCGAAGGCGGAUCUCUGGGCCAUUACUGACGCUGAGGAGCGAAAGCGUGGGGAGCGAACAGG